Neofelis nebulosa (Clouded leopard) is the source of this 1058-nucleotide long non-coding RNA. RefSeq lists it as uncharacterized. The record is from RefSeq and is a predicted model, not a curated record. NCBI's taxonomy places the organism in Eukaryota, Metazoa, Chordata, Mammalia, Carnivora, Felidae. The transcript is spliced from 3 exons.
CUCCCUCCAGGGAGCAACGUCCCUUCAUAAGGAUUCUUUUUCCCAGCAAGCAAAGAUGACCUGGAAAUUUGAUAGUGCGAGAGUUACAAACUAUACUUUCUCAAGGGAGAAAUAUUACCUUAUAGAAACCAGCUUUUAUCCUGCUGAGAACCUGUACUGUGCUGCGGGGAUUGUCUCUUAUUACAGCUGUGAGAGCCGGGGGAAGCACGUACAGCUCUCUUCCGCACACCGAAAAGACUGCUGGAAUCGCGGAUGACCCUGAAAAGAAACUGCGGUGUCACUUACGGGGGGGAGGUGGGGAAAGACAAAAAUGCCAACGUAAGCCGGUACAUUCCGCGUGCAGAUUGAGCCUGAAUACUCUUAGGCACACCAGGAGGAAACUUCUCAAGGUUUCGAAACUUCUAAGUAACCUCUACACCCAAGGUGGGGCUAGAACUCAUGACUCUGAGAUCAAGAGUCACAUGUUCUACCAGCUGCCAGGCACCCUGCGCUCUGAAGUCUUUAAAAUCAAAUUUCAGACAGAAUGUCACAAAUACUUCACUAUUCACAUCUAAUAGGGAGGAUCUUGAGAGAUUGGAGUUUGGCAAAACACAUUUUGGGAAAUAUUGGCCAAGAUAUUUGUAUUUUAGUUAACAACUUGGAAGAAGAGAACAACUUCAGGAGUGAUUCUAAUAGUGUUUCAGAGACCCACAAAAUAAAAAAAAAAGGGGGGGAAGAGUAAAUAUGAGGGCUUCCGGUUGCCUCUAAAUCACACUGUGUACCUUCUCAAUAGUUCUUCUUGCUUAUAAGACAGGUGGGCUUUUUGAACUUUGCUUUUCUGUUAUUAAAGAAACAAGACACAACAGUGGUCUUCUAAGGAUGAGUUAAGUUGUAUGGUAGAACACAUUUAAAAGGUUUGAAAGUGAAAAAUGGUUAGUCACAGUCAUAAAGUUCAACCAAGUUGCUGAGUCCUUACUGUGUCAAACACUGCGUUCUGCUGGGCUACCAAUAGAGGCAAAUGAAGAUACCCAGCCUGUUCUCCAGCACAGGAAGAUAUGCCGUUCCCAAGGCACUUUUGU